This is a long non-coding RNA of Mya arenaria, 238 nucleotides long. RefSeq lists it as uncharacterized. The record is from RefSeq and is a predicted model, not a curated record. NCBI's taxonomy places the organism in Eukaryota, Metazoa, Mollusca, Bivalvia, Myida, Myidae. The transcript has 3 exons.
GGACUAACGAAGGGAGUCUUGUGGUACUGAACGGAACCUUCCCUACACCUGACCUGGGUAGGAUAAAACUACCGGUAAAAGGGGUGUCCUCGCCGACCGCCAUUCAUUUAUGACGUGCCGGCGGGCUAGUGAAUAGACCUCUGUGGGUGCAAGAGGGACCGGAUCAUUCACCUCCACACGCCUGAGGCCAUCCUUUGCAAGCCCGUCAACCACUUCAUUCCCCUUCAGGCCGACAUGA